Long non-coding RNA from Cyprinus carpio carpio, 1375 nucleotides. NCBI's taxonomy places the organism in Eukaryota, Metazoa, Chordata, Actinopteri, Cypriniformes, Cyprinidae. The record is from Ensembl.
CUGACAGUGAAAAGGGAAAUCUUCUCGCAAAAAGAAGGAACAUAAGAAUAAGGGAUGUUUGAAGUGUUACUCUCAACAAACAGAAGCAUGUGGACACUGGACAGACAUUGACUGUAAUGAUGGACAUCUGCUGAAGCACAGGCAGAAGUAUAACGCCUGCUGGACAUUGUGCUGGAACUCGGGGAGGACACCAUGAUCCCCCACACCUUCUCACUCACACCAGACCAUUCACUCAUAUCACGGAGAUCUGGCUGGACUUGAACCAGCAACCUCUGAAACUAUGAGGCAGUGCUCUUACCUCUGAGCCACAGAUCUCAUGUCUGAACAUGUGCAGGAACUUAUAUUUCACUAUUCUCCCUGUCAGUUUACAAUAAACCAGUUAAAUUUUUAACCCAUCACACCACUGCAGUCCUGAUUGUGAGUAACAUGUGUUUAGCCAUUAGUGCCACACUGGCUUUCAUAUUGAAAGCUUGCGUUUGCUCCACUUUGUUGGAUAUAAUGCAAUACAUGAGCUUUAAUGUAAGCAAUAGUUGGGCUUGAACUCAGAACUCAAUGAUCCCAACACAACACGCUGCUUCUUGAGCCACUGGAACAGGUGUGUAAAUGGUUGUUUUGGACAGGUUAUAUUAAGAGCUUUGGUUUAUGUGAUUAAAAAUAAUUAAAUGAAUAAAUAAAUAAAAACUUGAGCUAGCAUUUUAGGUGGUGUUUUGCUGGAAACAGUAACAACAGCUGAAUGUAAGGAAAAGUGGAUUUUGAACUCAGGACUCCACAAUUCAUGGAGAAACUUAUUAUCUCCUGCACCACUGUGUGGUGACAUCUAUUGUAGUGUUUUAGAUGUAAAGACGAUAAAAUAACCAAAACGUCUUCAAUAAUUGUGAGAUUUGAACCCAAAGACAAAACACAAUAUUAUGAGCCACAAAGUUUGCAACAACUUGUUGUUAGGUUUUAUCCAAAUUAAAUAACAGUAGGAUUUGAACUCAAGACUCUGUGAUUGAAGCGCAGCACUUUAUAGCCUGAACCACUGGAUUUGUGGUGUAAAGGACUGUUUGCUUCAGCUGUUUUUUCAGGGUUGGAGCUAAAAUCAGGACAGUGGCUCACCAGGAGCAGGAUUAGACAAUCUCUUUCCUCCUGCUGUUUUCAUGUAUUAAUGCAGAUACACUUAUUGUCCACAAGGGAGAGCACAUUAGCACAUUGAUCUGAUCUCAUGCCUGUUCUCCAUCCAUUCAUUCUCCAAACCGCUUCUCCUGUAGGAUCCUGUGAGGAGAUGCUGGAGUCUGUCCCAGAGUCUCCGACCCAAAGCAGGAAAACACCCAGUCCAUCACAGAGCGAUGUGAGGAAGAGCCAGUCAAGCUUUACUGCAAAUCCUGCUUGAUUC